Molecule: non-coding RNA, 21 nt
Filed under: Caenorhabditis elegans
Lineage: Eukaryota; Metazoa; Nematoda; Chromadorea; Rhabditida; Rhabditidae
Source: RNAcentral
UGAACUGUAUUGAUAAAAAUU